GAUGAACGCUGGCGGCGUGCCUAAUACAUGCAAGUCGAGCGAACAGACGAGGAGCUUGCUCCUCUGACGUUAGCGGCGGACGGGUGAGUAACACGUGGAUAACCUACCUAUAAGACUGGGAUAACUUCGGGAAACCGGAGCUAAUACCGGAUAAUAUAUUGAACCGCAUGGUUCAAUAGUGAAAGGCGGUUUUGCUGUCACUUAUAGAUGGAUCCGCGCCGCAUUAGCUAGUUGGUAAGGUAACGGCUUACCAAGGCAACGAUGCGUAGCCGACCUGAGAGGGUGAUCGGCCACACGGGAACUGAGACACGGUCCAGACUCCUACGGGAGGCAGCAGUAGGGAAUCUUCCGCGAUGGGGGAAAGCCUGACGGAGCAACGCCGCGUGAGUGAUGAAGGUCUUCGGAUCGUAAAACUCUGUUAUUAGGGAAGAACAAAUGUGUAAGUAACUAUGCACGUCUUGACGGUACCUAAUCAGAAAGCCACGGCUAACUACGUG
This 497-nucleotide ribosomal RNA is filed under the name uncultured bacterium. Its description in RNAcentral is "partial 16S ribosomal RNA". It matches the Rfam family "Bacterial small subunit ribosomal RNA", at positions 28 to 507 of the family's 1533-position model. The record is from RNAcentral.